Molecule: ribosomal RNA, 113 nt
Filed under: Kluyvera georgiana
Lineage: Bacteria; Pseudomonadati; Pseudomonadota; Gammaproteobacteria; Enterobacterales; Enterobacteriaceae
Also listed under: 1 other name
Source: RNAcentral
CCUGGCGGCUGUAGCGCGGUGGUCCCACCUGACCCAUGCCGAACUCAGAAGUGAAACGCCGUAGCGCCGAUGGUAGUGUGGGUCUCCCAUGCGAGAGUAGGGAACUGCCAGGC